Humulus lupulus (European hop) is the source of this 3200-nucleotide long non-coding RNA. RefSeq lists it as uncharacterized. The record is from RefSeq and is a predicted model, not a curated record. Lineage: Eukaryota; Viridiplantae; Streptophyta; Magnoliopsida; Rosales; Cannabaceae. The transcript has 6 exons.
AGCCGUGUUGAGACUUGAGAGCAAGUAACAAGUAGUUGUCACUAGAGAAGACAAAGAAGUGAAUAAGUCAUAUAGUUUUCUUAGAUAGCCUAAUCUAAAAGCAAAGUCACUUCAAUACUGACAAAUAUUAAAAGAAGAAAUAAGAAAAUGAUAGAAAAAAUGGUGCUCCUGACACUCCAAGUGACGUUUGCACCUUGACUAAAAUGCAUAACUCCUCCCCAUCAUUGACUUGAGGCCAUGGGGCUUUGCCAAGUAUUUAUGUUUUGGGUGGAAAUAUUAGCAAGGAUCAUUGUCAAGUGAAUUAAUUUGCUUGAUUAUUGUUAAUUGCAAGAGGUAUGUAUGUUCUCUUAUUUUUUUUAUAAAUAUUAUUAUAAAAAUGUUAGAGGAGUUUGAAUAUCUUAAAUAUUCAUCCAUAGUGAAGUAGGUUCUGAGAUUAAAAUUGUGUGUUGCGGUGAUAAUGGAAGGUUGAGAAUUUGUGUGUUUUAGUGAAGUAGUUUCUGGGAAAUUUAUUUGUGUGCUGCGGAGAUAUAAGGAAGAAAUUUAUUGUGUGUUGUUUGAAUUGCUUGGUUCUCUAUUGACAGAUGGUUAGGUCACUAUUACAAGGGAAAUGUUGCCCAAAUUCAUUUAGAAUUAUGUUUUAUUUUCUUAUAUUUAAAUUAUGUUGUGCUUGCAUUGUUCUUUUUUUAUUGGCAUAGGGAAGCUCUGUCAAAAUUUAAGUUAAAAAGAUAGUGUAUUAAUAGGAAUAUGACAGCGCUAAAAUAUUGUAUUCAAGUCUUGGUGAAAUUGCUUUUGUAAUAAUAAAGUAAUUACGUUUUCACGUAUUGUGGUGUUUAACAUUCUAACUAUUAAACAAUCAUACACUAUAAUGAUUAGUUUUAUUGUAUAAAAAAUAAAUAGAUAGCAAUUCCAAAUAGCAAAGAACAAAAAGAUAUCCUCUCCAAUUCGAAAGUUAAGAGUCCUUUAGCUAGCACAAUUCAAUAAGUUGCUUAUUCUCAAUUACUCAGUUGUAGCAAACUGAAAAAAAAAAAUAUACACAUAGAUGAUAAGUGGCUAAUAUUUUGUCAUAUUGAUUAAUGAUAAGUUACUCAUUAGCAUGAUACUUAUAAUACAUAAUAUAAUCCAUUUGAACUACUAAUUAAUACUUAAAAAACUAUUGAGAGAUUGGUCAAAAUUGUAAAAUGGCCAUUGUUUGAUCAUGAUUAUCUCUUUCUUUCAAUAGCAAUUUUUUUUGUCUCUUUUGUGGUUCUUAAGGACACGGGUCACUUAUAUAUUCUACCCAUUUGAAUACAUAUUUAUCUAAUUAACUCAGCCCCGCCACACCACGCCACACAUGUCACACACACCUUGAGUCAUCUUUACUUGACACACCUUUCUACUUUUGCUAAAUUUAAAUCAUGAAAAAAGCCAGACUUUAUUGCCUAACUAUCCUAUCGGAGUCUAUUAGUUCUAUAUAAGCUUCAAUCUAUAUCUUCUAAGUCAUCUCAAACAAUUAUUGAACAUCUACAUUUUACUUGCUGCGUGUUUCUACUAUGGCACUUCCUCAAGCCAACUUCGGUUCCUUUUCUAGUUUUUAUUCUAGUUCGAAUUAAGAUGUUUGCAUGCCAUGUCUUCAAGGCCAAAGUCUAUUGACGUUGAUUGGACUACAAAAGUGAUCUCUCAUAUUCGUGCUCACCAACCUCUCUUUCUCUAUAUGUAUCUUAAUAUAUUUGGAUAUAUAUAUAUAUAUACACAUUGAUCUCUCAUAUGUGUGCACUUCAAUUUCUAUUUCUCUCUCCCUAUAUAUGUUAUUACUCUCCUGUCAUGAUUACAAAUACAGCACAAUCAUGAUUUUUUUUUUAAAAUCAAAGUCUGGUGUCUAUUUUAAAAAUAAAAACAACAGAGUCUGGUUCUGGGCAUAAGAAUAACUACUUUAAGACAAAAAACAUAUUACAAAAACUUCUUAAGCAUAUUAUAUAUGGAAUUUUAUUUUCAUUUUCCUGACCUUUUUUUCUUUUGACUUCUUCGACUAGUACAUUUUAUAAUAACUCACUCAAUGUUAUAAAGAAAGCCAAAUAGAAACAUUCAAAGAGGCAAAACAGAGCAAGAUUUUCAAAGUUCUUAUUUGAAAUAUACCUCGAGCAUUAACAAAUCUAAUGCAAUGCUUCCAUUUCAAAUCCCUACAAACAUAAAGCUAGAUAUCGUGAGUAAAAAGAAACCAAUGAAACUGAAAAAAUAGAAGGGAAAAAAGUAUAAACCCCAUGCCAAAAAGCUAUUCUUUCUCACUACAGGAGUUAUCGUCAGGUCAAAACUCAAAAGGGCAUAUGCACAAUAAGAUGAAACAUAAAAAGUUAAAUCAAGAAUAAAUCUGAUCAAAUAAAAAAAAUCAUAUUCUAUAAUAAAACAAACCAAUGAUCACAAUGGUUAGAUAAAAAAAAACUUCAAUAAUGAAACUAGUCGAACUUGAGAUGAGAGAAGGAGAUGCGAGAAAGUAUAUAGGUCAAAACCAUUGGUUAUCAAAUGUUGGAUCCACUUGAGAAGAACGAGUUGAAUGGGUAUCAAAGCGUAUGCUUGAUUUAAAUCCGGGUGAGAUGUGGUUGUUGCCAUAUCAUAAGGGAAAACAUUGGAUGCUUAUAAUAAUUGAUUUUGAUCACCAAUUGUGCUAUUUCCCGGAUUCUCUUCACAAUUUUCCACCAGAUGAAAUCAAAUCUCUCAUUUCUCGUGUCUUUCAACAUUUACGCACAAAUAAUGCAAAAACUAAGGAAGUCGCGUGGAGAAUAGUUAAGUGUCCUCGUCAACCAUUACAAUCAAUAUAAUGUGGGUUCUAUGUUAUGAGGAUGAUGAAGGACUUCGUGACAAAUGAGUUUUCAAUGCGAUGGCUAACUAGUAAUUGUAGCGGGAAGAACUAUUACACAAAGGAUGAAAUCAAUGAAGUAUGUGAAGAAUGGGCACAAUGCGUCAUGGAUUUGAUGAGUACUACAUAGGUCCAUUCACUUUUGUUAACUUAGACUUUUAAUGAGAUAUACUUACAAUGUUAACUUAGACUUUCUUGAAGAUAUACACACUUUUGUUGCCUAACUAUAGUUUACAAUGCUUAUGUGAGUCAUUUUGUAAUUAACUUAAGACUCGUUAUUUUAGAUACUUAGUUCAAAUUUUAGUAUUUUAUAUUAUUGUGAUAUAUGUUUUGUUUUGUUCAGUUUGUUUGUAUAAAAAAACAUGAUUUG